AUACGGAGGACGCGAGCGUUAUCCGGAUUCAUUGGGUUUAAAGGGUGCGCAGGCGGCCGUGCAAGUCAGCGGUGAAAGCCCGGGGCUCAACCCCGGAAGUGCCGUUGAUACUGCAUGGCUGGAAUGCGGUCGAGGCGGGCGGAACGGGGCGUGUAGCGGGGGAAUGCGUAGAUAUGCCACAGAACGCCGAUAGCGGAGGAGGCUCGCCAGGCCUGCAUUGACGCUCGGGCACGAAAGCGUGGGGAUCGAACAGGAUUAGAUACCCUGGUAGUCCACGCCGUAAACGAUGGGCGCUCGUCGUCGGCGGCAGACAGUCGGCGGCCAAGCGAAAGCGAUAAGCGCCCCACCUGGGGAGUACGGUCGCAAGGCUGAAACUCAAAUGAAUUGACGGGG
This 393-nucleotide ribosomal RNA is filed under the name uncultured bacterium. RNAcentral describes it as "partial 16S ribosomal RNA". It matches the Rfam family "Bacterial small subunit ribosomal RNA", at positions 523 to 918 of the family's 1533-position model. The record is from RNAcentral.